UACGUAGGGGGCAAGCGUUGUCCGGAUUUAUUGGGCGUAAAGAGCGUGUAGGCGGCCAUACAGGUCCGUUGUGAAAACUGGAGGCUUAACCUCCAGACGUCGAUGGAAACCGUAUGGCUAGAGUCCGGAAGAGGAGAGUGGAAUUCCUGGUGUAGCAGUGAAAUGCGUAGAUAUCGGGAGGAACAUCUGUGGCGAAGGCGACACCCUGGACCAGCACUGACACUGAGGCACGAAAGCGUGGGGAGCAAACAGG
This 253-nucleotide ribosomal RNA is filed under the name uncultured bacterium. RNAcentral describes it as "partial 16S ribosomal RNA". It matches the Rfam family "Bacterial small subunit ribosomal RNA", at positions 524 to 776 of the family's 1533-position model. The record is from RNAcentral.